AUGCGGUAUGACGGUACCCUUUCGAAUAAGAGGUUGCUAACUCUGUGCCAGCAGCAGCGGUAAUACAGAGACCUCGAGCGUUAUCCGGAUUUACUGGGCGUAAAGCGUCUGUAGGGGGUUUGUUAAGUUCCAAGUAAAAUCUUAAGGCUCAACUUUAAGUUCGCUUGGAAAACUAAUAAACUGGAGUCCAGCAGAGGUGCAUGGAACUUGCGGUGUAGGAGUGAAAUCCGUUGAUAUCGCAAGGAACACCAAAGGCGAAGGCAUUGCACUGGGCUGGUACUGACCCUGAGAGACGAAAGCGUGGGGAGCAAAACGGAUUAGAUACCCGUGUAGUCCACGCCGUAAACGAUGGAUACUAGAUGUUCGGGGAUUCGACCCCCUGGGUGUCACAGCUAACGCGUUAAGUAUCCCGCCUGGGAAGUACGGCCGCAAGGCUAAAACUCAAAGGAAUAGACGGGGAUCCGCACAAGCGGUGGAGCGUCUGGUUUAAUUUGAUAGUAAGCAAUGGACCUCACCAAGGUUUGACAUCCUAUGACAACCCUGGAAACAGGGCUUCCUUCGGGCAUAGUGACAGGUGCUGCAUGGUCGUCGUCAGUUCGUGCCGUGAGGUGUUCCGUUAAGUCGGGAAACGAACGAAACCCUCGUCGCAUGUUACAAAUUUCAUGCGAGACUGCCCGGGUCAACCGGGAGGAAGGCGGGGAUGACGUCAGAUCAGCAUGGCCCUUAUACCUUGGGCCACACAGGCGCUACAAUGGCCGGUACAAAGGGUUGCAAAACCGCGAGGUGAAGCUAAUCCCAUAAAGCCGGUCCAAGUUCGGAUUGGAGGCUGCAACUCGCCUCCAUGAAGUUGGAAUCGCUAGUAAUCGUGGAUCAGCCAUACCACGGUGAAUACGUUCCCGGAUCUUGUACUCACCGCCCGUCACACCAAGAGAGUUGGUAGCUCCU
RNAcentral lists this ribosomal RNA (945 nucleotides) under uncultured organism. RNAcentral describes it as "bacterial SSU rRNA". It matches the Rfam family "Bacterial small subunit ribosomal RNA", at positions 462 to 1422 of the family's 1533-position model. The record is from RNAcentral.